AAAAUUUUACAACAGCGGGUAAAAUUCCUACUCGUUUUUCCAAAAACAAGAAUAAUCCAAAACUCGUCGUUCUGACUUCACAGAAACCUUCUCAUUCAUGAAAGAGGAUUACAACUCAAAAGUCUGUGCCUUUCCAGCGCACGAGCACAAAACAGACUCCAUCUCAGCAAAAAUCCUAUUAUUGCGACGAUACUCACAAAAACACUUAACCAAAAACCCUAAAUUCCUUAGCCAU
RNAcentral lists this long non-coding RNA (235 nucleotides) under Trifolium pratense (red clover). RNAcentral's name for it is "long non-coding RNA (TPRA_LNC010061)". The record is from RNAcentral. Lineage: Eukaryota; Viridiplantae; Streptophyta; Magnoliopsida; Fabales; Fabaceae.